UCCGAAUUGGUGUAGUGGCUAACAUUUGACGCUCUCAUCUUCGUGCUAAACGUAGAAAAGUGCCGUCAAGCCCGGGGUUCGAUUCCCCGAUUCGGAG
Non-coding RNA from Nemania abortiva, 97 nucleotides. The record is from the annotation of a GenBank genome assembly. NCBI's taxonomy places the organism in Eukaryota, Fungi, Ascomycota, Sordariomycetes, Xylariales, Xylariaceae.